RNAcentral lists this ribosomal RNA (965 nucleotides) under uncultured bacterium. RNAcentral describes it as "bacterial SSU rRNA". It matches the Rfam family "Bacterial small subunit ribosomal RNA", at positions 8 to 983 of the family's 1533-position model. The record is from RNAcentral.
AGAGUUUGAUCAUGGCUCAGAACGAACGCUGGCGGCGUGCUUAACACAUGCAAGUCGCGUGCGCAGUCUGUAGCAAUACAGGCCGGCGCACGGCGCACGGGUGCGUAACACGUGGGCAAUCUGCCCUCUGAUGGGGAAUAACCCCGCGAAAGCGGGGCUAAUUCCGCAUAAAAUUCCGAGGACUUCGGUUUUUGGAUUCAAAGCAGUAAUGCGUCAGAGGAGGAGCCCGCGCCCGAUUAGCUAGUUGGUGAGGUAACGGCUCACCAAGGCAAUGAUCGGUAGCUGGUCUGAGAGGAUGAUCAGCCACACUGGAACUGAGACACGGUCCAGACUCCUACGGGAGGCAGCAGUGGGGAAUCUUGCACAAUGGGCGAAAGCCUGAUGCAGCGACGCCGCGUGGGGGAUGAAGCUUUUCGGAGUGUAAACCCCUUUCGACUGGGAAGAAAACCCGCAAGGGAUUGACGGUACCAGUAUAAGAAGCCCCGGCUAACUACGUGCCAGCAGCCGCGGUAAGACGUAGGGGGCCAGCGUUGUUCGGAAUUACUGGGUGUAAAGGGUUCGUAGGCGGUGCGGCAAGUUGGGAGUGAAAUCUCUGGGCUCAACCCAGAGGCUGCUUCCAAAACUGCUGUGCUUGAGUGUGAGAGAGGCUCGUGGAAUUGCAGGUGUAGCGGUGAAAUGCGUAGAUAUCUGCAGGAACACCCGUGGCGAAAGCGGCGAGCUGGAUCACUACUGACGCUGAGGAACGAAAGCUAGGGGAGCAAACAGGAUUAGAUACCCUGGUAGUCCUAGCCCUAAACGAUCAGGACUUGGGGUGCCGCCCGUUCGGGCGUCGUCCCGGAGCUAACGCGUUAAGUCCUGCACCUGGGGAGUACGUCGCAGACUGAACUCAAGAAUUGACGGGGCCCCGCACAAGCGUGGAACAUGUGGUUCAAUUCGACGCUACGCGAGGAACUUACCUGGGCCUC